AGAGUUUGAUCCUGGCUCAGGAUAAACGCUGACAGAAUGCUUAACACAUGCAAGUCUAUGAGGAAGUUUAGCUUGCUAAAUGGACUCAUGGCGGACGGGUGAGUAACGCGUAAAGAACUUGCCCUUUAGACUGGGAUAACAGAGGGAAACUUCUGAUAAUACUGGAUAAGUUAGUAUAUCGCAUGAUAUGCAAAUGAAAGCUACGGCACUAAAGGAGAGCUUUGCGUCCUAUUAGCUAGUUGGUAAGGUAAGAGCUUACCAAGGCGAUGAUAGGUAGCCGGCCUGAGAGGGUGGACGGCCACAAGGGGACUGAGAUACGGCCCUUACUCCUACGGGAGGCAGCAGUGGGGAAUAUUGGACAAUGGAGGGAACUCUGAUCCAGCAAUUCUGUGUGUGUGAAGAAGGUUUUAGGACUGUAAAACACUUUUAGUAGGGAAGAAAAAAAUGACGGUACCUACAGAAGAAGCAACGGCUAAAUACGUGCCAGCAGCCGCGGUAAUACGUAUGUUGCGAGCGUUAUCCGGAAUUAUUGGGCUUAAAGGGCAUCUAGGCGGUAAGACAAGUUGAAGGUGAAAACCUGUGGCUCAACCAUAGGCUUGCCUACAAAACUGUUGAACUAGAGUACUGGAAAGGUGGGUGGAACUACACGAGUAGAGGUGAAAUUCGUAGAUAUGUGUAGGAAUGCCGAUGAUGAAGAUAACUCACUGGACAGAAACUGACGCUGAAGUGCGAAAGCUAGGGGAGCAAACAGGAUUAGAUACCCUGGUAGUCCUAGCUGUAAACGAUGAUCACUGGGUGUGGGGAUGCGAAGUCUCUGUGCCGAAGCAAAAGCGAUAAGUGAUCCGCCUGGGGAGUACGUUCGCAAGAAUGAAAC
RNAcentral lists this ribosomal RNA (874 nucleotides) under human gut metagenome. Its description in RNAcentral is "bacterial SSU rRNA". It matches the Rfam family "Bacterial small subunit ribosomal RNA", at positions 8 to 900 of the family's 1533-position model. The record is from RNAcentral.